RNAcentral lists this small nucleolar RNA (86 nucleotides) under Solanum tuberosum (potato). RNAcentral's name for it is "small nucleolar RNA snoR114". It matches the Rfam family "small nucleolar RNA snoR114". Lineage: Eukaryota; Viridiplantae; Streptophyta; Magnoliopsida; Solanales; Solanaceae. The record is from Rfam by way of RNAcentral.
GUGCUAUGAAGAUAAUUGUUCAAAUGUGAAAACUUGGGUCUUCACUAUGUUUGAUAAUCAGUUGACAAAUUAGUACAUCUGAGCGU